Molecule: ribosomal RNA, 253 nt
Filed under: uncultured bacterium
Lineage: Bacteria
Description: partial 16S ribosomal RNA
Rfam family: Bacterial small subunit ribosomal RNA
Source: RNAcentral
UACGUAGGGUGCAGGCGUUAAUCGGAAUUACUGGGUGUAAAGCGUGCGCAGGCGGUUUCUUAAGUCAGAUGUGAAAGCCCCGGGCUUAACCUGGGAACUGCGUUUGAAACUGGGAGACUUGAGUGUGGCAGAGGGGGGUGGAAUUCCACGUGUAGCAGUGAAAUGCGUAGAUAUGUGGAGGAACACCGAUGGCGAAGGCAGCCCCCUGGGUUAACACUGACGCUCAUGCACGAAAGCGUGGGGAGCAAACAGG